GCGGGAAUAGCUCAGUGGUAGAGCAUCGCCUUGCCAAGGCGAGGGUCGCGGGUUCAAGUCCCGUUUCCCGCUCCA
RNAcentral lists this transfer RNA (75 nucleotides) under bacterium. RNAcentral's name for it is "tRNA-Gly". It matches the Rfam family "tRNA". From Rfam's summary of the family: Transfer RNA (tRNA) molecules are approximately 80 nucleotides in length. Their secondary structure includes four short double-helical elements and three loops (D, anti-codon, and T loops). Further hydrogen bonds mediate the characteristic L-shaped molecular structure. tRNAs have two regions of fundamental functional importance: the anti-codon, which is responsible for specific mRNA codon recognition, and the 3' end, to which the tRNAs corresponding amino acid is attached (by aminoacyl-tRNA synthetases). tRNAs cope with the degeneracy of the genetic code in two manners: having more than one tRNA (with a specific anti-codon) for a particular amino acid; and 'wobble' base-pairing, i.e. permitting non-standard base-pairing at the 3rd anti-codon position. RNAcentral also lists the same sequence under 2 other names. The record is from RNAcentral.